CCCUCUCUCUUUCAGCAGAACUGAGCAGAGGCUCUGAGCUCCCUGUGAUUAAUCACUGAGCUGCAGCAGUGAGUGAGUGAAAGUUCAAUCAGAACUGUGUUUGCUGAUGAAACCCAACUGCAGGAGCCAGAGGCCAGAAGCACAGCCCUACUUCCUAAUUACAUGUCGACAGGAGUUUGAAUUCACACCGUCCCCACUACCAGAGUUCUGAAUCUUCAUUCUCCCUUAUCCCAUAAUUCCUUUAGCCAGUCAUUUGUCAGUGGGUGUUGGGGCUGCUCCCACUCUUUGGCAAUUGUGAACCAUGUAGCUGUGAACAUAGGGGAAACUCCGUAAUAACUGGAAUAACUGGUCUAUUCACCUUUGCAAAAACAACCAGAGAACCCGAAACAGACUCGCAGGAAGAAUCUUCCGUAAUCUGGGCCAGGAAAGAUGACGCUGAGAGAGAUGGGGCCACAGUUAGGAGCUGCGCUGAGAGAAGAUGGAGGAGCAAGGAGAUGGAAAAUUUAAUAAUCACAUUAAAAAAUUAAACGCCGGGCCCCAGCGGUUGUCACUUUCCAUCCGCUGA
This is a long non-coding RNA of Erinaceus europaeus (western European hedgehog), 565 nucleotides long. RefSeq lists it as uncharacterized. The record is from RefSeq and is a predicted model, not a curated record. The transcript is spliced from 3 exons. Lineage: Eukaryota; Metazoa; Chordata; Mammalia; Eulipotyphla; Erinaceidae.